UUAAAAUGUUUUGUAAGACGCUGUCCUUCAAUGGUUCAAUGGUUCGUAAGAUGGGAUACUUAUUUUUAUAGAUAUACAUGUUUACACAAUGAUAUACAGUACAUUACUUUCUCUGGAUUAUGUUAACACCUAUUCUUGUUCACUGCCGCACAGGAUUUGGAUCCGAUUUGGACAGACAGUAAUUCCCCAGCCAGUCUUCAGGAAGAAGAGACUGAAGAAGACGACUGGAGGCGUCUGCAGCCAUCAACAUAAAUUGGCAAAGCGCAACUUAGAUUUUAGUAACUCCAGGAGGUUACUGGUCCCAGCUAAGAGAUAGUUAGGAAUAUAACCCUCUUUAAGGCUUUGCUGUUUAGCUUUGUAUCUCAUGUACAGACACAUGAGUUGCAUUAUUUCAUUAAUUCAAUUCUUCGCAAGAUAGGAAUUUGCUUAUUCUCUAUAACUGUCAAGCUAUUGCUUUAAGCAUUACCCUGAACUACACUAAAUCUUUGACAAACUAUUUAAAAAGUUUGUAUUGGAGUUACCUAAUUUGUGAACAUCCAACAUAAACACUAUGCACAGCUUCAUGGUUUUAGCCAAAAUCUGUUUACAUUUCAGUAAAGAUGCUUCUGUUAAAGCUCAAUAAUACAUUUUGUUUGUCAUACUUGACAUACCUAUCAAGAGCCUUUUUUUUUUUUUUACUUAGGGCAAACCACUCAAAUUAUAUUCAUAAAACAGAUAGUACCAGUCCUUCAUUAAGACGUGAGUCACGUUCAAAGCUGUUGUAAAAUACUCUAUAGACACACAGCUGUGAACACUGUGCCACCUGUUGUUUCAAAAUGUCGGAUUUUGUUAAAACCUUGCGUACCUGUAAUCCCAAAUCUACCUGUAAAUGUGCGCAGCUGGUUCAGCCUCACGUCCCGCCCUCUACACGCCCACAUUCAACCAUAAAUGUUCAAUGCAAAGCAGAUAGCUGUUACAGUUUGUCUGUGUACAGUAUGCUGGAUCUUUCACUAUGGAAUAAACCAUAAAUUAAUAAAUAAAGUUGUGUUCACUGCAGCGAUUUUACUCACAAACACUUAAUAAAAACUAAAAUCAUACAUGUGAUAUGUGCACAGUAUUAGAAGAUUAUUGAAAACUAAUGAUGCUCUGCUCUGCAGUUCUUCAACACUAGUUGACUGUAUUUUACAGAUGAUGAUAAUUUCAUCAGCUGCUCCACAGCUGACCACGAGAGUCGAUAGUUCGGCCCUCUCCUCUGUGCUGAGGAGAGCAGACAGCGCUAAUGAAAUAUCAAGCGAAAUUUGAUUUGAUUCGUCAAGUUUGUUUAUAUAGAUCACAACUUUUGCGUGGGAAGUGGCGUACGCCUCUUUCAGACCCCGUUUUGUGCGUACGCAACGGUUAUAAACGAGACCCCUGGCUAUUGAUUUUGAAACAAUCACCAAAAUGGAGCGAAACCAGGCUCUCCGACACUUUUAUGCCAAUGAUCCACCUCUCAGCCUAUCCUGGUGUCUGUUGAAAGAUCCAGAGUGUAUCACUGGCAACAAAGGUUUUCGUUGGAUUGGUGAAAAAGCUCGAGAAGGAUGAGACAAAAAAACAGCAACGUUGUUCCUACAAAUGCACAAACAAAAAAAAACACGAUUCCGUCGAAUGAAACCAAGAGAGCCGACAGGGAUUCAUGUUUGAGCAGCCUAGGAAGCCACUACUGUGUCCCAUCACUUCAUUUUGAGAAAUACCUGUCGUUGCUUUCUUCGGGCCUUUUAUCUCCAUCCAAAGUGGACAAACUACAUCAAUGAUCUGUGGUAAGUUGAUACAACAAUUGUAGCAUUGUUUACAAGUUAACAAUAGCUUUUUGUAGAUUUGUAGCCCAUUAUGCCAACUUUUCUCUCGCUAUGUCGUUAAUUGCAAGCAAUAUCUUUUUUGUUAAAGUGUAGCUUGGUUAGUGUAAUGGAAAACCCUCUAAUUAUGCACAAUGUAACCACGUUUACAUCCCUUAUUUUGAUCAUGCUGAAUCCGGUACAAUGCAACCUUUGAAUGAAUGAAUCCUGGCAGCUAACGGUGCUAAUAGCGCUAACAGUGCAAACAAACGAAAGUAACGACAGAGCUCACAGUCUUUAAUUAUAUCCUGGUUUGUCAAAAUGAAGGUGGUAGGGUUAACAAUGACACCAGCUUUGGCUGACCUGAAACUGCUUGUGUAAAAAUAUUGGGCGGAAGAACAUUCCAUUAUUUCCAUCCCACACAAUGACUUAUCCUCUAUUUACGGUGUGGAGUUUAGAUGGUAUGAAUCAUAACCAUGGGAUGUUACUUAUCUGUGUUCUCGCUCAGUUGAAAUAGAGGACCUAAGUGGACCAACAUGCAAAGAGGGAACGUCUCAUCAACAUUUUGUUGACGGAUCUCAUGAAAAGAGGUAUGUUAUGAUUUGAAUAAAGAGAUAUAUAGUAUGUUGUCCGACAUGGUGAUGUUUGGUAUGUUUGGGUCAAUUAGUCCUCCGAGAGGUAUAACUUUCUGUUUGAACAAACUGUUGGAACUUCAAUAAGGGAAAUUCGGGAGGAGUAGUGCUGCACAAAAAGUUCUGAUGUGAUGUUUUUUAUGGAGGGAGAGAGGUACUUUUAUUGUUUUCACAAGAGUGUUGUUUUUCAAAUAAAUAAGAUAACUACAAAUCAUAAAUUACCCACAUUAACCGAGCAAGCAGGGGUUUCUUUCUUUUUACCAAGAGGCACGAGAGAACCAGAACCAGGGCUGAGUGGAGCAGACUGUCAGACCCUGCUGCUGUAAAGUUAGAGGUUUUCUAAAGGGACUCUGGUGCUCAGAAACACUCCCACUUUCGGCAACAAGAGCCACCAAAAUUGUGAAACUUCCUUAGUAACGUAUACAGCACAUCUAUUUCACAACAUUUGAUGAAAACAAUUACAGUUACAAUAUGGCGGGUCAAAUUGCAACACAUUUCUUGAAACUUGAAGUAGUCCAUCCCACAAAAUGGCCGCCUUCCCAUUUUUAGACUUUCUGUAAAGCAAAAGGAGGAAUCUGCAACCAGCUGAGCUUUUAGACACCAACACAGUCAGCUGAUCAUCAUAUUUCUCUGAUGAUUUGUCGCAUCUUGGAGAUAAAGCGUGAUUGGUAAUUAUCCUAUGAACAUAAAGGCAUUUGCUAAAUUUGAACUACAUUUGAACACAAAGUGUUGAGUCACAGUAACUUGUACUAGUUUAGAUACAAAGCUUUUGCCUCCAGUUCUCAAGGUUUGUCCCAGUUCACUGUGGACAAAGAGUGUGACUUUAACAAAGGACCCUAAUUCAAAUCACGUCUCCUACUAACAGUCAACAUGUUGUUGUGUGAUUUCCAUGAAAGGCAAUCUUUUUUUUUUAGCCUUGACCAAGUAGUUUUAGUUGCCUGAACACGCAGCAUCUCUGUAUCUGGUUGUGCUUUCUCACUUUGCAGCUUUUUUUUCUAAAUGCAGCACACGUGUUGUCAAAUUGGUGAAGAUGUUCUCUUCAUGUACCUCUGUUCUCUACAAUACUUGGAGCAUUUAUAAAGAUAUAGAGGAGUAAUGUCUUCCUGAGCAGAGAAUGAAGUUGCUCUCCCUCUGUGUGUGUGUUGUAGUCCGAGCUUCUCUUUGCUUUGUUUACCAAGCCGGGCCGGCUGCGCUUGCCUUUAGUGCAUUGUGCGUGCAUGUUAAUGCAUGCGAGCGUGCCCCGCUGGUUAGCUCCUGGCCUCCACACUGCGCUCAUACAGCUGUUACAGCUGCUAACGGUGUUACGGCUGAUAAGCAGUCGUCUAAGAAGCGUAGCGCCCACCGUUAAACACUGUUUAGCCGUUGCCAUGUUGAGAGCCGUGAGGAAUCAAAAGAAUUGUUAUGAAUUUAGAUUUUAGCCCCUUUAAGUAGCAGUGAAGCUCUCAUGGCCACUGUAGAAGGAUUCUUGGGAACUGAAACUGAUAGAUUUGCUGACCUUGAAUUUAUUUUUAUUUCGAAAUACAGAAGUACUUGCAGAAGUGCAUGUCAUUAUGUCUAUUCCAGACAAUUCCUUAUCGUCUAUUUAGGGUGGGAAGUUCCUGUGGUUUGAAUCAUAACCAAGAGACGGUACUUAUCUGAAACAGAGGACCAAAGCUGACCAACAUGAACGAAGGAAAGGUCAAGAUUUUGUAAGGAUCUAAAAAAAAGAAAAAAGAUAUCCAUUGAAUGCGUGGACAACGCUGAUGGACUUCCUGGUGAAAUCAUCUACGAUGAUAUGACAUUUCCCAUUCCUUAUCAACAAGUAAGGUUUAUACUAUUUAGUUUGAAGUGACAUGUAUUGGAUUUGGGAGGACUAGUGCUGCGUAAGAAGGAGCAGAAGCAGUAGUGAACCGAAUGAAUCAGAGUCGUGUGUGGUAGCAACAUUAGCAGCUAGCGUACAUUGAAAGUGACAUUUUUCUUAACCGAUAAAUAUAUUUUUGCUGCAGUUAGAUUUAUGUA
Anarrhichthys ocellatus (wolf-eel) is the source of this 4420-nucleotide long non-coding RNA. RefSeq lists it as uncharacterized. The record is from RefSeq and is a predicted model, not a curated record. The transcript has 3 exons. Lineage: Eukaryota; Metazoa; Chordata; Actinopteri; Perciformes; Anarhichadidae.